RNAcentral lists this unclassified non-coding RNA (354 nucleotides) under uncultured fungus. RNAcentral's name for it is "partial contains small subunit ribosomal RNA, internal transcribed spacer 1, and 5.8S ribosomal RNA". The stretch from base 1 to 135 matches the Rfam family "Eukaryotic small subunit ribosomal RNA", at positions 1759 to 1831 of the family's 1831-position model. The record is from RNAcentral. Lineage: Eukaryota; Fungi.
GCAAACUUGGUCAUUUAGAGGAAGUAAAAGUCGUAACAAGGUUUCCGUAGGUGAGUAAAGAUCUUUGACCCCUCGAUAUGCGAUUUUGACCAGAUGCUAAUUUGACUGAUAGGUGAACCUGCGGAAGGAUCAUUACCGAGUAUCGGGUGCUCUGGCACCCUGCUCCCACCCUAUGUUGACUUGUAACCGUUGCUUUGGCGGGCCGGUGGGCUACCUACCGCCGGGCGGCGCCUGGAGAGCGCCCGCCAGAGGACCAAACAAAACUCUUGUAACCUGUUCACAUCUGAGCAAGCGAGAAUGACCAAAACUUUCAACAACGGAUCUCUUGGUUCUGGCAUCGAUGAAGAACGCAGC